AUGCAACUGAAGAGUCCCAAAUAGGACGAAACGCUCGUCCUGGAU
Molecule: non-coding RNA, 45 nt
Organism: Schistosoma curassoni
Lineage: Eukaryota; Metazoa; Platyhelminthes; Trematoda; Strigeidida; Schistosomatidae
Source: Rfam